CCUACGGGAGGCAGCAGUGAGGAAUAUUGGUCAAUGGGCGUAAGCCUGAACCAGCCAAGUCGCGUGAGGGAUGAAGGUUCUAUGGAUCGUAAACCUCUUUUAUAAGGGAAUAAAGUGUGGGACGUGUCCUGUUUUGUAUGUACCUUAUGAAUAAGGAUCGGCUAACUCCGUGCCAGCACGCGCGGUAAUACGGAGGAUCCGAGCGUUAUCCGGAUUUAUUGGGUUUAAAGGGUGCGUAGGCGGCCUUUUAAGUCAGCGGUGAAAGUCUGUGGCUCAACCAUAGAAUUGCCGUUGAAACUGGGAGGCUUGAGUAUGUUUGAGGCAGGCGGAAUGCGUGGUGUAGCGGUGAAAUGCUUAGAUAUCACGCAGAACCCCGAUUGCGAAGGCAGCCUGCCAAGCCAUGACUGACGCUGAUGCACGAAAGCGUGGGGAUCAAACAGGAUUAGAUACCCCAGUAGUC
Molecule: ribosomal RNA, 460 nt
Filed under: uncultured bacterium
Lineage: Bacteria
Description: partial 16S ribosomal RNA
Rfam family: Bacterial small subunit ribosomal RNA
Source: RNAcentral